Molecule: transfer RNA, 68 nt
Filed under: Prosadenoporus spectaculum
Lineage: Eukaryota; Metazoa; Nemertea; Enopla; Monostilifera; Prosorhochmidae
Description: tRNA-Val
Source: RNAcentral
CAAGAAAAAGCAUUAAGUGAUGUGUUUCGUUUACGUUGAAAAAAUGGGAAGAUAUUUCCCUUUCUUGA